This is an RNA transcript of Nomascus leucogenys (northern white-cheeked gibbon), 1612 nucleotides long. It is a transcript of the gene named solute carrier family 22 member 10-like, with no coding region annotated. The transcript is spliced from 9 exons. NCBI's taxonomy places the organism in Eukaryota, Metazoa, Chordata, Mammalia, Primates, Hylobatidae. The record is from RefSeq and is a predicted model, not a curated record.
AUGGCCUUUGAGGAGCUCUUGAGUCAAGUUGGAGGCCUUGGGAGAUUUCAGAUCCUUCAUCUGGUUUUUAUUCUUCCCUCUCUCAUGGUAUUAAUCCCUCAUAUACUGCUGGAGAACUUUGCUGCAGCCAUUCCUGGUCAUCGUUGCUGGGUCCACAUCCUGGACAAUAAUACUGGAUCUGAUAAUGAAACUGGAAUCCUUAGUGAAGAUGCCCUCCUGAGAAUCUCCAUCCCACUAGACUCAAACCUGAGGCCAGAGAAGUGUCGUCGCUUCGUCCAUCCCCAGUGGCAGCUUCUUCACCUGAAUGGGACUAUCCACAACACAAGUGAGGCCGACACAGAACCCUGUGUGGAUGGCUGGGUAUAUGACCAAAGCUACUUCCCUUCGACCAUUGUGACUAAGUGGGACCUGGUAUGUGAUUAUCAGUCACUGAAAUCAGUGGUUCAGUUCCUACUUCUGACUGGAAUGCUGGUGGGAGGCAUCAUAGGUGGCCAUUUCUCAGACAGGUUUGGGCGAAGAUUGAUUCUCAGAUGGUGUUUCCUCCAGCUUGCCAUCACUGACACCUGUGCUGCCUUCGCUCCCACCUUCCCUGUUUACUGUGUGCUACGCUUCUUGGCAGGUUUUUCUUCCAUGAUCAUUAUAUCAAAUAAUUCUUUGCUCAUUACUGAGUGGAUAAGGCCCAACUCUAAAGCCCUGGUAGUAAUAUUGUCAUCUGGUGCCCUUAGUACUGGACAGAUAAUACUGGGAGGCUUGGCUUAUGUCUUCCGAGAUUGGCAAACCCUGCACGUGGUGGUGUCUGUACCUUUCUUUGUCUUCUUUCUUCUUUCAAGGUGGCUGGUGGAAUCUGCUCGGUGGUUGAUAAUCACCAAUAAACUAGAUGAGGGCUUAAAGGCACUUAGAAAAGUUGCACAAACAAAUGGAAUAAAGAAUGCUGAAGAAACCCUGAACAUAGAGGUUGUGAGAUCCACCAUGCAGGAGGAGCUGGAUGCAGCACAGACCAAAACUACUGUGUGUGACUUGUUCCGCAACCCCAGUAUGCGUAAAAGGAUCUGUAUCCUGUAUUUUUGAGGUAGGCUCCGUAUAAUUUGCAAACACAAUACCUUUUAUGGUACCAUGGUCAAUCUUCAGCAUGUGGGGAGCAAUAUUUUCCUGUUGCAGGUACUUUAUGGAGCUGUCGCUCUCAUGUUCGAUGUCUUGCUCUUUUGACACUAAAUCAUAUGGGCCGUCGAAUAAGCCAGAUAUUGUUCAUGUUCCUGUGGGCCUUUCCAUUUUGGCCAACACGUUUGUGCCCAAAGAAAUGCAGACCCUGCGUGUGGCUUUGGCAUGUCUGGGAAUCGGCUGUUCUUCUGCUACUUUUUCCAGUGUUGCUGUUCACUUCAUUGAACUCAUCCCCACUGUUCUCAGGGCAAGAGCUUCAGGAAUAGAUUUAAUGGCUAGUAGGAUUGGAGCAGCACUGGCUCCCCUCUUGAUGACCUUAACGGUAUUUUUUACCACUUUGCCAUGGAUCAUUUAUGGAAUCUUCCCCAUCAUUGGUGGCCUUGUUGUCUUCCUCUUACCAGAAACCAAGAAUCUGCCUUUGCCUGACACCAUCAAGGAUGUGGAAAAUCAGUGA